RNAcentral lists this ribosomal RNA (253 nucleotides) under uncultured bacterium. RNAcentral describes it as "partial 16S ribosomal RNA". It matches the Rfam family "Bacterial small subunit ribosomal RNA", at positions 524 to 776 of the family's 1533-position model. The record is from RNAcentral.
UACGUAGGGGGCAAGCGUUGUUCGGAAUUACUGGGCGUAAAGGGCGCGUAGGCGGCCCAGCAAGUCGGGGGUGAAAGCCCGGGGCUCAACCCCGGAAUGGCUUUCGAAACUGCUGAGCUAGAGUACAGAAGGGGCAACCGGAAUUCCCAGUGUAGCGGUGAAAUGCGUAGAUAUUGGGAAGAACACCUGAGGCGAAGGCGGGUUGCUGGGCUGAUACUGACGCUGAGGCGCGAAAGCCAGGGGAGCAAACGGG